UACGGAGGGUGCGAGCGUUGUCCGGAAUCACUGGGCGUGAAAGGGCGCGUAGGCGGCUUUGUAAGUCAGAGGUGAAAGCCCCGGAGCUCAACUCCGGAAUUGCCUUUGAGACUGCAUCGCUUGAAUCCAGGAGAGGUGAGUGGAAUUCCGAGUGUAGAGGUGAAAUUCGUAGAUAUUCGGAAGAACACCAGUGGCGAAGGCGGCAUCCUGGCCUGUAACUGACGCUGAGACGCGAAAGCGUGGGGAGCGAACGGAUAGAUACCCU
RNAcentral lists this ribosomal RNA (265 nucleotides) under uncultured bacterium. RNAcentral describes it as "partial 16S ribosomal RNA". It matches the Rfam family "Bacterial small subunit ribosomal RNA", at positions 524 to 788 of the family's 1533-position model. The record is from RNAcentral.